CCUACGGGAGGCAGCAGUGAGGAAUAUUGGUCAAUGGACGAGAGUCUGAACCAGUCAAGUAGCGUGAAGGAUGACUACCCUAUGGGUUGUAAACUUCUUUUAUAAAGGAAUAAAACGAGGCACGUGUGCCUUUUUGCAUGUACUUUAUGAAUAAGGAUCGGCUAACUCCGUGCCAGCAGCCGCGGUAAUACGGAGGAUCCGAGCGUUAUCCGGAUUUAUUGGGUUUAAAGGGAGCGUAGAUGGGUUGUUAAGUCAGUUGUGAAAGUUUGCGGCUCAACCGUAAAAUUGCAAUUGAUACUGGCAGUCGUGAGUACAGUUGAGGUAGGCGGAAUUCGUGGUGUAGCGGUGAAAUGCUUAGAUAUCACGAAGAACCCCGAUUGCGAAGGCAGCUUACUAAACUGUGACUGACAUUGAUGCUCGAAAGUGUGGGUAUCAAACAGGAUUAGAUACCCUUGUAGUC
RNAcentral lists this ribosomal RNA (460 nucleotides) under uncultured bacterium. RNAcentral describes it as "partial 16S ribosomal RNA". It matches the Rfam family "Bacterial small subunit ribosomal RNA", at positions 338 to 795 of the family's 1533-position model. The record is from RNAcentral.